RNAcentral lists this long non-coding RNA (273 nucleotides) under Elaeis guineensis (African oil palm). Its description in RNAcentral is "long non-coding RNA (EGUI_LNC060191)". The record is from RNAcentral. Lineage: Eukaryota; Viridiplantae; Streptophyta; Magnoliopsida; Arecales; Arecaceae.
ACCUUGUACAGCAUCUUUCUGAACUUCCCCGACCAUCCAAGCUUCCAUAAUACUAUCCGAACUUCUCCGAUAAUGAGCUGCUCCAUUUAUCUACCGAACUACUCCAAAUACUUUCUGAGCUUCGCUAUCAGCCGAUUUUCUAUAGUGAUCGACUAUUCUCCAAAUCUCUUCCAGACUUCUUCCGGCCACGGACGACUUUACUCCAAACUUCUUUCGGACUUCGUCAAUAUCCGAGCUGCUCUGACAAUAGGAUUUCUACAGUAACCAGACUCC